GAUGAAGAACGUAGCGAAAUGCGAUAAGUAGUGUGAAUUGCAGAAUUCAGUGAAUCAUCGAAUCUUUGAACGCACAUUGCGCCCGCCAGUAUUCUGGCGGGCAUGCCUGUUCGAGCGUCAUUUCAACCCUCAAGCACAGCUUGGUGUUGGGACUCGCGUUAAUUCGCGUUCCUCAAAUUGAUUGGCGGUCACGUCGAGCUUCCAUAGCGUAAUAGUAAAACCCUCGUUACUGGUAAUCGUCGCGGCCACGCCGUUAAACCCCAACUUCUGAAUGUUGACCUCGGAUCAGGUAGGGAUACCCGCUGAACUUAAGCAUAUCAAUAAGCGGAGGA
RNAcentral lists this unclassified non-coding RNA (332 nucleotides) under soil metagenome. Its description in RNAcentral is "partial contains 5.8S ribosomal RNA, internal transcribed spacer 2, and large subunit ribosomal RNA". The stretch from base 1 to 120 matches the Rfam family "5.8S ribosomal RNA", at positions 35 to 154 of the family's 154-position model. The record is from RNAcentral.